Molecule: ribosomal RNA, 468 nt
Filed under: uncultured bacterium
Lineage: Bacteria
Description: partial 16S ribosomal RNA
Rfam family: Bacterial small subunit ribosomal RNA
Source: RNAcentral
GACGAACGCUGGCGGCGUGCUUAACACAUGCAAGUCGAACGGAAAGGCCCUGCUUUUGUUUGGUGCUCGAGUGGCGAACGGGUGAGUAACACGUGAGUAACCUGCCCUUGACUUUGGGAUAACUUCAGGAAACUGGGGCUAAUACCGGAUAGGAGCUCCUGCUGCAUGGUGGGGGUUGGAAAGGUUCGGCUGUUGGGGAUGGACUCUCGGCUUAUCAGCUUGUUGGUGGGGUAGUGGCUUACCAAGGCUUUGACGGGUAGCCGGCCUGAGAGGGUGACCGGCCACAUUGGGACUGAGAUACGGCCCAGACUCCUACGGGAGGCAGCAGUGGGGAAUAUUGCACAAUGGGCGGAAACCUGAUGCAGCAACGCCGCGUGCGGGAUGACGGCCUUCGGGUUGUAAACCGCUUUCGCCUGUGACGAAGCGUGAGUGACGGUAAUGGGUAAAGAAGCACCGGCUAACUACGUG